This 253-nucleotide ribosomal RNA is filed under the name uncultured bacterium. RNAcentral's name for it is "partial 16S ribosomal RNA". It matches the Rfam family "Bacterial small subunit ribosomal RNA", at positions 524 to 776 of the family's 1533-position model. The record is from RNAcentral.
UACGAAGGGGGCUAGCGUUGCUCGGAAUUACUGGGCGUAAAGCGCACGUAGGCGGCUUUGCAAGUCAGAGGUGAAAGCCUGGAGCUCAACUCCAGAAUUGCCUUUGAGACUGCAUCGCUUGAACACGGGAGAGGUGAGUGGAAUUCCGAGUGUAGAGGUGAAAUUCGUAGAUAUUCGGAAGAACACCAGUGGCGAAGGCGGCUCACUGGACCGUUGUUGACGCUGAGGUGCGAAAGCGUGGGGAGCAAACAGG